AACCGAUGCUGUUCCAAGCAUGAGUGAACAUUACAAGACCUGCACUGAAUUUGAGGCCAGAGGAAACAAUUAUUCCUGCUCUUCUUCUGAAUCUUCUGGUCAAGACAACAUUUCUGUAUUUAAAGGCAAUUCUGGCGCUGAACAUGCCUGUAAUUGAGGCUUAAUGGAAUCCCACACAAAUGAAGGAAUGUAUAAUGUUGAUAACAGCGAAAACAACAACAACUCUUUUGACAUGGGAAUGGACACAUAAUUGAAUGAUCAUGUCGUUCCAGACCCCAUCCAUUUUGCCCUGCUGAUUAUGAUCAGUUGAAUGUGCCUGGGUCACUUGAGUGCAUGCUCGCAGGUAGACCGUUACAAGUGCUUUCUUGGCGAGUGCAUGCC
Long non-coding RNA from Thrips palmi, 381 nucleotides. RefSeq lists it as uncharacterized. The record is from RefSeq and is a predicted model, not a curated record. The transcript has 3 exons. NCBI's taxonomy places the organism in Eukaryota, Metazoa, Arthropoda, Insecta, Thysanoptera, Thripidae.